This 1196-nucleotide ribosomal RNA is filed under the name uncultured bacterium. RNAcentral's name for it is "bacterial SSU rRNA". It matches the Rfam family "Bacterial small subunit ribosomal RNA", at positions 120 to 1265 of the family's 1533-position model. The record is from RNAcentral.
AACGCCGUACCGGGUGGUGCGGGAACGUUCGGAACGGACGCUAAUACCGCAUACGUCCUACGGGAGAAAGCAGGGGACCUUCGGGCCUUGCGCUAUCAGAUGAGCCUAGGUCGGAUUAGCUAGUUGGUGAGGUAAUGGCUCACCAAGGCUACGAUCCGUAACUGGUCUGAGAGGAUGAUCAGUCACACUGGAACUGAGACACGGUCCAGACUCCUACGGGAGGCAGCAGUGGGGAAUAUUGGACAAUGGGCGAAAGCCUGAUCCAGCCAUGCCGCGUGUGUGAAGAAGGUCUUCGGAUUGUAAAGCACUUUAAGUUGGGAGGAAGGGCAUUAACCUAAUACGUUAGUGUUUUGACGUUACCGACAGAAUAAGCACCGGCUAACUCUGUGCCAGCAGCCGCGGUAAUACAGAGGGUGCAAGCGUUAAUCGGAAUUACUGGGCGUAAAGCGCGCGUAGGUGGUUUGUUAAGUUGAAUGUGAAAUCCCCGGGCUCAACCUGGGAACUGCAUCCAAAACUGGCAAGCUAGAGUAUGGUAGAGGGUAGUGGAAUUUCCUGUGUAGCGGUGAAAUGCGUAGAUAUAGGAAGGAACACCAGUGGCGAAGGCGACUACCUGGACUGAUACUGACACUGAGGUGCGAAAGCGUGGGGAGCAAACAGGAUUAGAUACCCUGGUAGUCCACGCCGUAAACGAUGUCAACUAGCCGUUGGGAGUCUUGAACUCUUAGUGGCGCAGCUAACGCAUUAAGUUGACCGCCUGGGGAGUACGGCCGCAAGGUUAAAACUCAAAUGAAUUGACGGGGGCCCGCACAAGCGGUGGAAGCAUGGUGGUUUAAUUCGAAGCAACGGCGAAGAACCCUUACCAGGGCCUUGACAAUCCAAUGAACUUUUCUAAGAAGAUAAGAAUUGGGUGCCUUCCGGAACAUUGGAGAAAAAAGGGUGCCUGCAUUGCUGUUCGUCAGCUCUCGGUGUCCGUGAGAAAUGUUUGGGGAUAGGUCCGAUAACCGAGGCGGCCAACCCUUGUUCCUUUAGUUUACCAGCACGUAAUAUGGGUGGGCCACCUUCUAAGGAGAACUUGGCCGGUUGACCAACCUGAGGAUGGGUGGGGAGAUAGACUCCAGGUCAUCAUAUGGCCUAACCGCUGGCUACACACACCAGGUCUCAAUGUCGUACACAGGGUUGCCAAGCCCUCAAGGUGA